UGAGUGGGAGCUUCUGGAAAGGAAGGCUGUGGCCUGGAUUCGCACCCAUGCAGGUGCUGCCAUGCCUGGGCUUGUGAAAGCUGCUAACACUUUCCUGAAGUCAUCCGUGGAUCCGGCUAUCUUUUCACUCUGAAGAUCCCACCAGAAGAGAAGUGCCUUACCUUGACUAUGUCACUUCCUUUGCUGCCCUUCUGCUGAGAUGGCUUUCCAUGUUUUAGAUCACUCCUAUCAGUUCCUUGUCAUAAAAAUAAAGGAUGCUUACCCA
This is a long non-coding RNA of Tupaia belangeri chinensis (Chinese tree shrew), 265 nucleotides long. RefSeq lists it as uncharacterized. NCBI's taxonomy places the organism in Eukaryota, Metazoa, Chordata, Mammalia, Scandentia, Tupaiidae. The record is from RefSeq and is a predicted model, not a curated record. The transcript has 2 exons.